Molecule: ribosomal RNA, 264 nt
Filed under: uncultured bacterium
Lineage: Bacteria
Description: partial 16S ribosomal RNA
Rfam family: Bacterial small subunit ribosomal RNA
Source: RNAcentral
GUCCACGCCGUAAACGAUGAAUACUAGGUGUAGGGGGUAUCGACCCCUCCUGUGCCGUCGUUAACACAAUAAGUAUUCCACCUGGGGAGUACGGCCGCAAGGCUGAAACUCAAAGGAAUUGACGGGGGCCCGCACAAGCAGUGGAGUAUGUGGUUUAAUUCGAAGCAACGCGAAGAACCUUACCAGGUCUUGACAUCCUAUGCAACCCCUAGAGAUAGGGGGUUCUCUUCGGAGACGUAGAGACAGGUGGUGCAUGGUUGUCGU